RNAcentral lists this long non-coding RNA (524 nucleotides) under Homo sapiens (human). RNAcentral describes it as "HSALNT0392171". Lineage: Eukaryota; Metazoa; Chordata; Mammalia; Primates; Hominidae. The record is from RNAcentral.
CUCCAAAUGACUUCUGCAGCUGUAAGCAGUUCAGAGGAGCUAUGCAUUGGACUCCCAAUCCCAUCUACAGAGGCUCUCCCCUGGCACCUGCGGGGAGAAAAGCUGAAGUACAAAGGGCACUGGCUGAGCCUCUUACACCAGAUCAGAGGCUGCUGGCCACACAGACUCACCAAGCCACAGACUUGUCUUCCACAAGCACGUUCUUACCUUAGCCACGAAGUGACCAAGCCACACGUACUAAAGGUUGAACUCAAAGAUAUGUACAGGGUAUUAAACAAAUACCAAGGGGAACAGUUAACUUCAAUACAAGUUUCGUGAGGCUAGCAUGAGGUGUGUGCAUUUGCCAGGGGCAAAUUUCUAUUCUCAAUUAACCCAUGCAGCAAAUGCUACGCAUCUGCUGAGUCCGUUUAGAAGCAUUUGCGGUGGACGAUGGAGGGGCCCGACUCGUCGUAGUCGGUCAGGUCCCGGCCAGCCAGGUCCAGACGCAGGAUGGCGUGGGGGAGGGCGUAGCCCUCGUAGAUGGG